AAUCUUCCACAAUGGACGGAAGUCUGAUGGAGCAACGCCGCGUGAGCGAAGUAGGUUUUCGGAUCGUAAAGCUCUGUUUUAAGGGAAGAACACGUACGGGAGUCACCGCCCGUACCUUGACGGUACCUUAUCAGAAAGCCCCGGCUAACGACGUGCCAGCAGCCGCGGUAAUACGUAGGUGGCAAGCGUUGUCCGGAAUUAUUGGGCGUAAAGCGCGCGCAGGCGGUCCUUUAAGACUGAUGUGAAAGCCCGCGGCUCAACCGUGGAGGGUCAUUGGAAACUGGAGGACUUGAGUACAGAAGAGGAAAGCGGAAUUCCACGUGUAGCGGUGAAAUGCGUAGAGAUGUGGAGGAACACCAGUGGCGAAGGCGGCUUUCUGGUCUGUAACUGACGCUGAGGCGCGAAAGCGUGGGGAGCAAACA
RNAcentral lists this ribosomal RNA (422 nucleotides) under uncultured bacterium. RNAcentral describes it as "partial 16S ribosomal RNA". It matches the Rfam family "Bacterial small subunit ribosomal RNA", at positions 360 to 774 of the family's 1533-position model. The record is from RNAcentral.